UCCUGCAAGUGAAGGGGGUAAGGCAAGUCGAUAAGCCACCUCACCAAUUCUUUCCAAAAUCUCAAACGGACCCACAUAUCUAGGAUUCAAUUUGUCACGAAUGCCAAAUCUUGAGAAUCCUUUUGAAGAAGAUACUUUGAGAAACACAUGGUCACCGACUUGAAAUUCUAAUUUUCGUCUCCUGUUAUCUGCAUAGCUUUUCUGUC
This 206-nucleotide long non-coding RNA is filed under the name Elaeis guineensis (African oil palm). Its description in RNAcentral is "long non-coding RNA (EGUI_LNC012297)". Lineage: Eukaryota; Viridiplantae; Streptophyta; Magnoliopsida; Arecales; Arecaceae. The record is from RNAcentral.